GUGAAUCAUCGAAUCUUUGAACGCACAUUGCGCCCAUUAGUAUUCUAAUGGGCAUGCCUGUUCGAGCGUCAUUUCAACCCUCAAGCCCUUAGUUGCUUGGUGUUGGGAGCUUAUCCUGCCGCAAGGCGGACAACUCCUUAAAUUUAUUGGCGGAGUCGCGGUAAUCCCGAGCGUAGUAAAUUCUUUUUUUUCCCCUCGCUUUAGGUGUUAACGCUGGCUUUCUAGCCGUUAAACCCCCUAAUCUUUUAGUGGUUGACCUCGGAUCAGGUAGGACUACCCGCUGAACUUAAGCAUAUCAAU
Molecule: unclassified non-coding RNA, 300 nt
Filed under: uncultured Monosporascus
Lineage: Eukaryota; Fungi; Ascomycota; Sordariomycetes; Sordariales
Description: sequence contains 5.8S rRNA gene, ITS2
Rfam family: 5.8S ribosomal RNA (bases 1-71)
Source: RNAcentral